CUACGGGUUGCAGCAGUGAGGAAUAUUGGGCAAUGGGCGAAAGCCUGACCCAGCCAUGCCGCGUGAAGGAUGACUGCCCUAUGGGUUGUAAACUUCUUUUGUAAGGGAAGAAUGAUUCCUACGUGUAGGAAUGUGACGGUACCUUAUGAAUAAGCACCGGCUAACUCCGUGCCAGCAGCCGCGGUAAUACGGAGGGUGCAAGCGUUAUCCGGAUUUAUUGGGUUUAAAGGGUGCGUAGGCGGAAUUUUAAGUCAGUGGUGAAAUCCUGCAGCUCAACUGUAGAACUGCCAUUGAUACUGAUCUUCUUGAAUUUAGUUGAGGUGGGCGGAACGUGUAAUGUAGCGGUGAAAUGCUUAGAUAUUACACAGAACACCGAUUGCGAAGGCAGCUCACUAAACUAACAUUGACGCUGAGGCACGAAAGCGUGGGUAGCGAACAGGAUUAGAUACCCCUGUAGUC
This 459-nucleotide ribosomal RNA is filed under the name uncultured bacterium. Its description in RNAcentral is "partial 16S ribosomal RNA". It matches the Rfam family "Bacterial small subunit ribosomal RNA", at positions 339 to 795 of the family's 1533-position model. The record is from RNAcentral.